AUGGCUCAGAUUGAACGCUGGCGGCAGGCCUAACACAUGCAAGUCGAACGGUAACAGGAAGCAGCUUGCUGCUUCGCUGACGAGUGGCGGACGGGUGAGUAAUGUCUGGGAAACUGCCUGAUGGAGGGGGAUAACUACUGGAAACGGUGGCUAAUACCGCAUAACGUCGCAAGACCAAAGAGGGGGACCUUCGGGCCUCUUGCCAUCAGAUGUGCCCAGAUGGGAUUAGCUUGUUGGUGAGGUAACGGCUCACCAAGGCGACGAUCCCUAGCUGGUCUGAGAGGAUGACCAGCCACACUGGAACUGAGACACGGUCCAGACUCCUACGGGAGGCAGCAGUGGGGAAUAUUGCACAAUGGGCGCAAGCCUGAUGCAGCCAUGCCGCGUGUAUGAAGAAGGCCUUCGGGUUGUAAAGUACUUUCAGCGGGGAGGAAGGUGUUGUGGUUAAUAACCGCAGCAAUUGACGUUACCCGCAGAAGAAGCACCGGCUAACUCCGUGCCAGCAGCCGCGGUAAUACGGAGGGUGCAAGCGUUAAUCGGAAUUACUGGGCGUAAAGCGCACGCAGGCGGUCUGUCAAGUCGGAUGUGAAAUCCCCGGGCUCAACCUGGGAACUGCAUUCGAAACUGGCAGGCUUGAGUCUUGUAGAGGGGGGUAGAAUUCCAGGUGUAGCGGUGAAAUGCGUAGAGAUCUGGAGGAAUACCGGUGGCGAAGGCGGCCCCCUGGACAAAGACUGACGCUCAGGUGCGAAAGCGUGGGGAGCAAACAGGAUUAGAUACCCUGGUAGUCCACGCCGUAAACGAUGUCUACUUGGAGGUUGUGCCCUUGAGGCGUGGCUUCCGGAGCUAACGCGUUAAGUAGACCGCCUGGGGAGUACGGCCGCAAGGUUAAAACUCAAAUGAAUUGACGGGGGCCCGCACAAGCGGUGGAGCAUGUGGUUUAAUUCGAUGCAACGCGAAGAACCUUACCUGGUCUUGACAUCCACAGAAGAAUCCAGAGAUGGAUUUGUGCCUUCGGGAACUGUGAGACAGGUGCUGCAUGGCUGUCGUCAGCUCGUGUUGUGAAAUGUUGGGUUAAGUCCCGCAACGAGCGCAACCCUUAUCCUUUGUUGCCAGCGAUUAGGUCGGGAACUCAAAGGAGACUGCCAGUGAUAAACUGGAGGAAGGUGGGGAUGACGUUAAGUCAUCAUGGCCCUUACGACCAGGGCUACACACGUGCUACAAUGGCGCAUACAAAGAGAAGCGACCUCGCGAGAGCAAGCGGACCUCAUAAAGUGCGUCGUAGUCCGGAUUGGAGUCUGCAACUCGACUCCAUGAAGUCGGAAUCGCUAGUAAUCGUGGAUCAGAAUGCCACGGUGAAUACGUUCCCGGGCCUUGUACACACCGCCCGUCACACCAUGGGAGUGGGUUGCAAAAGAAGUAGGUAGCUUAACCUUCGGGAGGGCGCUUACCACUUUGUGAUUCAUGACUGGGGUGAAGUCGUAACAAGG
Molecule: ribosomal RNA, 1487 nt
Filed under: uncultured bacterium
Lineage: Bacteria
Description: bacterial SSU rRNA
Rfam family: Bacterial small subunit ribosomal RNA
Source: RNAcentral